RNAcentral lists this ribosomal RNA (434 nucleotides) under uncultured Lachnospiraceae bacterium. RNAcentral describes it as "partial 16S ribosomal RNA". It matches the Rfam family "Bacterial small subunit ribosomal RNA", at positions 341 to 792 of the family's 1533-position model. The record is from RNAcentral. Lineage: Bacteria; Bacillati; Bacillota; Clostridia; Lachnospirales; Lachnospiraceae.
ACGGAAGGCAGCAGUGGGGAAUAUUGCACAAUGGGGGAAACCCUGAUGCAGCGACGCCGCGUGAGUGAAGAAGUAUUUCGGUAUGUAAAGCUCUGUCAGCAGGAAAGAAAAUGACGGUACCUGACUAAGAAGCCCCGGCUAACUACGUGCCAGCAGCCGCGGUAAUACGUAGGGGGCAAGCGUUAUCCGGAUUUACUGGGUGUAAAGGGAGCGUAGACGGCUUUGCAAGUCUGAAGUGAAAGCCCGGGGCUCAACCCCGGAACUGCUUUGGAAACUGUAGAGCUAGAGUGCAGGAGAGGUAAGUGGAAUUCCUAGUGUAGCGGUGAAAUGCGUAGAUAUUAGGAGGAACACCAGUGGCGAAGGCGGCUUACUGGACUGUAACUGACGUUGAGGCUCGAAGGCGUGGGGAGCAAACAGGAUUAGAUACCCUGGUA